RNAcentral lists this non-coding RNA (28 nucleotides) under Bombyx mori (domestic silkworm). Lineage: Eukaryota; Metazoa; Arthropoda; Insecta; Lepidoptera; Bombycidae. The record is from RNAcentral.
UGAUCGUAGCGAUUGGUUUUGCCUUGAA